This 343-nucleotide RNase P RNA is filed under the name marine eukaryotic metagenome. Its description in RNAcentral is "Bacterial RNase P class A". It matches the Rfam family "Bacterial RNase P class A". From Rfam's summary of the family: Ribonuclease P (RNase P) is a ubiquitous endoribonuclease, found in archaea, bacteria and eukarya as well as chloroplasts and mitochondria. Its best characterised activity is the generation of mature 5'-ends of tRNAs by cleaving the 5'-leader elements of precursor-tRNAs. The record is from RNAcentral.
AGUUUGCCAGGCAGUCGCUUCGUUAAACGAAGAGGAAAGUCCGGGCUCCGAAGAGCAGAGUGCCAGGUAAUACCUGGGGGGCGUGAGCCUACGGAAAGUGCAGCAGAAAGUGUACCGCCAGCCUGGUAAGUUCAGGAAGGUAAGGGUGAAAAGGUGCGGUAAGAGCGCACCGCGCGACUGGUAACAGCUCGUGGCGAUGGUAAACCCCACUCGGAGCAAGACCAAAUAGAAAUCUAAUAGUGCGGCUCGUGCUGGAUUUGGGUAGGUUGCUUGAGCCUGUUGGUGACGACUGGCCUAGAUGAAUGACUGUCCAUGACAGAACCCGGCUUAUCGGCAAACUCUU